Non-coding RNA from Drosophila melanogaster (fruit fly), 281 nucleotides. The record is from Ensembl. Lineage: Eukaryota; Metazoa; Arthropoda; Insecta; Diptera; Drosophilidae.
GCACCUAGCUUUAACAUUUUCCUAUAUUGUGGUUGCGCUUUCACACGCCGCUUAUAUUCUAUAGGAAAAUAAAAUUAAAUCGCUCAAAAAUCACCGCCUGUCCCUCGAUAUUUUAUACACGUCAGCGGCCGAGACAACUAUCGAUAUGUUUCUGGAUCAACAAACAUCGAUGCGUAAACGAAGAACCAUCGAUGCCCGCUGCAAGAGUGACCGUAUGCAUGCUCUACUGUAAACUCAACCGUUAUAAAACAUUACGUUUAGAUUGAAUUUAAAUAAAAUGU